AUUAACUCCAAAGCUAGAUCAGGAGGCAAUAUCCUUCAUAAGCAGAAUCACUGUUGCUUAAGCAGUCUGAAUUAUGUUUUUAAAUUAUUGUUAUGAUAUCUCCAGGUAUACGUGUACAUGAUCUGAGCAACCUGGAGUAAUGCCAUAAAGCUAAUGCUGAAGAUCGGUGCAUCAGAUUAACUGUUCCUGGAGGCGGCAACUCCACAUGGCUCAUUACUAUGGCAUGCCUAAUUUCUUCUGCAAGUGAGGGGAGCAACUGUGGUGAGGGUGUGGGGUGACGCGGCGGCGUUCCACACAGCAUUCCCCACAUGCAACGCAUCCCCGCUUCUGUGAUGAACGCUUCCACCCGUGAUUGAGACUAGUCAUUUGGAGAUGAAAUACCAAAAGGGUAUUAUCGUGCAUUUCAGCCCGGCAAUCAAAAUGCAAGUUCUGCACCGCAGCGAGAAACAGAAGGCACAAGUGCCUCACUGACGCAUUGAAGGCGAGGAUUUUGUACCGCUGUGUAAAUAAAAUGCCUGCCUGUGACUUUAAGCACGGUGGUACUUGGCUAGAGUGAACCAUUUAUUCUUACUAUGAGGGAUACGGGGAUAGGGAUGAGGAUGAGAGGGGCGAUGGUGAUGGUGAGGAAGAGCAGCGAAAGCCCCAGCGCCUGGCGGGGAAUGGUGCCCCUACCUCAGCAAGCUGGACAAGGGAAUAGCUCCGGAUCCACUGCCCAGGAUCCCUCCUUUCCUCCCAGACAGGAGUUUCUCCACCAGAGCCACAUUCCCCGUGCGGGCGGCCUCCAGCAGCUCCUGGUCCUUGCCCAUGGCCGGGGACCGCGCGGCCCCCGCGCCCCCCGCCGCGCUGCCUGGGAGCGGAGCGUGGAUUCCUGCAGUCCCCUCCGGAGCAGCGGGAGCAGCAGCGGGAGGGAGGAGGAGAAUCACCUCCUCCUAGUUUCACUGGAUCAUUGCUGGGUGGAGUGUGGAGGGGAAGGAGGGGGGGAGCCAGGCCGAGCAGGAGCCUCCCCCCAGCUCCCAUCCGCGCACCCCGAGCCUCGGCCUGGAGAGCGGGGCGGAGGGCAACGGGCGGCCCCCGCGCCCGUGUCUGGGCGGGGCGGGGCGGGGCGGGGGGACGGCGACCCUCACACGGGCGAGGGAAGGGAAGGGCGGGACGGGGGAGGCGGCGCGGCCCCGGGGAGCCGGGCCCGUUGCUGGGGAGACGCGCCCGGCGCGCGCUCAGUGGCUGCCCGGGCCGCGUGCCCCCCUCCGCCCGCCCCAGCCCUCGGCCGCCCCGCCCUGCCCGCCCCUCGCGCGUUCCACUGCGGUGCGGGGCUGCGCGUGUGGGGAGAGGUGUCCGUCCGCCCGCCCGCCAUUCGGCCCCGCCAGUCUCAUGUAUCACCUGAUGAAUACCAUCUCACAUGUAUCCUCUGCAUCUUGUGCAUGGGAAAACUUCUUCACAGCUGCUAAGAACCACUGAAGAGAUGCCAGUGUUCUGUGAAGAGCUGAUUGUAAGGCAGGAAUAUGUGCACAGACCUGCACGUUUGUGAAUAAUGAGACUAGAAGCAGAUGCUAAGGAAAAUGCAGUUUUUUAAAGAAUUUGGAUUAUUUAUGUGGUUGGAUCAGCAGAUGGCAAAUAUGACUCAGUACAAACGUUACAUAAUUCUUCUUGGGAAAAUAAAAUCUCAAGACUGUGCUCUAAUUGAAAAGAUCAUCCAGAAAGCUGUUGAAGAACAGUAUGGAGGAUCAGGAUAGAAACAUCAGUGGAGCAGAUGCAUGCAGUAGCCAGCAAAUUUGGGAAGGUUUUAUGAACAUAGCGAGGUUCAAAGCAUUACCCAGGAUAUGCAUCAGUCUACCACCCAACCAAACUGCAAGUCCAAGCAGAGGAUUUGUAAACAGUUAUUUUAACGGUCUGAUAAAGAAAAAUGAAUUUAAGCAGCACUAUUUAAUGGCAGGGUUAAGCGCAGAUAAACUCUAAUGGCUACUGAAGCAAAGAAUUCAGCACAUUGAUUUCAUCUCUGGAUACAAACCCACAAUGGUCUGUGGUAAGAAAAAAAAGGUACUGGGACUGAACUGAAUGUAAAUCAUCAAACCUGUUAAAUCAGGUGGGCUUUUAAAUGUCUCAUUUUUAAAUGUCUUACAUUCUUUGUUCCUGGUAAUGUCAGGACAACACUGUGGACAGCAUUCAAAAUGACAUGUACCAUAAAUAUGUUAAAUAGACAUAAUAUGUAGAAACAUAGCUUUAUGAUUUGUAGCAGAUGAGAGAGAUAAUUUGUAAAACAGCCAAGAAAUCUUUCAAAACAUUGUCUGAUUUUCAAGCAGUGCUGUUCCAUACCACAGUGGAAUUUUGAUUUUAUGAUUUUAGUAUAUGCAAAGACAUUUUAAGUUAUGACCACUGCAGCUGUCAGUGCCUAAGUGGCAUCACACCUUCAAUCUCAGACUUUCUCUUAACACAACAUAUGCCUUACCUUCUGUUUUCUUCCAUUUUCUAAAAUACCAGAAAAAGCAGUUAGCCUACCUAGAAAUUCUUUAAUAGGUUUGUUAUCCAAAAGGACUGGGAUCGACUGUAAUAAACAGGGGUUUUCCUUAAUGUUUUUACAAUGCAGCCGUCAUGUGGUUUUGUUCCUAUUUCAGGGUGACAACUUGAUUUCCUCUCCCUGCAGACUCCCAUAGUCUAGGCAAGUUAAAUGAGUGCUUUCUCAAAUUCUCUGACUUUCCACUCUAUUUUCCAGAAGGAGCAUAGAGAGCACUGAGUUGCAAAUAUUGAAAAAAC
RNAcentral lists this long non-coding RNA (2748 nucleotides) under Pavo cristatus (Indian peafowl). RNAcentral's name for it is "lncRNA (ENSPSTG00000008523.1)". The record is from RNAcentral. Lineage: Eukaryota; Metazoa; Chordata; Aves; Galliformes; Phasianidae.